AUACCUCCCUGGCAGGGAAGACACCAUGAUCACAAAGGUGGUUUUCUCGAUGCGAGGCUUAUCCAUUGCACUCAGGAUUUGCUGACUCCUGCAAUUUCCCCAAAUGUGAGAAACUUCACCUGCAUGC
Small nuclear RNA from Tupaia belangeri (northern tree shrew), 127 nucleotides. Its record names the gene U1. It matches the Rfam family "U1 spliceosomal RNA". Rfam says of the family: U1 is a small nuclear RNA (snRNA) component of the spliceosome (involved in pre-mRNA splicing). Its 5' end forms complementary base pairs with the 5' splice junction, thus defining the 5' donor site of an intron. The record is from Ensembl. Lineage: Eukaryota; Metazoa; Chordata; Mammalia; Scandentia; Tupaiidae.